UACAGAGGGUGCAAGCGUUGUUCGGAAUUAUUGGGCGUAAAGCGCGUGUAGGCGGCUUAGCAAGUCGGGCGUGAAAGCCCUCGGAUCAACCGAGGAAGUGCACCCGAAACUGCUGAGCUUGAGUGCCGGAGAGGAUGGCGGAAUUCCACAAGUAGAGGUGAAAUUCGUAGAUAUCGGGAGGAACACCGGUGGCGAAGGCGGCGACCUGGGUGGAUACUGACGCUGAGGUGCGAAAGCGUGGGGAGCAAACAGG
Molecule: ribosomal RNA, 253 nt
Filed under: uncultured bacterium
Lineage: Bacteria
Description: partial 16S ribosomal RNA
Rfam family: Bacterial small subunit ribosomal RNA
Source: RNAcentral